UGAACGCUGGCGGCGUGCCUAAUACAUGCAAAUCGAGCGAACAGACGAGGAGCUUGCUCCUCUGACGUUAGCGGCGGACGGGUGAGUAACACGUGGAUAACCUACCUAUAAGACUGGGAUAACUUCGGGAAACCGGAGCUAAUACCGGAUAAUAUAUUGAACCGCAUGGUUCAAUAGUGAAAGACGGUUUUGCUGUCACUUAUAGAUGGAUCCGCGCCGCAUUAGCUAGUUGGUAAGGUAACGGCUUACCAAGGCAACGAUGCGUAGCCGACCUGAGAGGGUGAUCGGCCACACUGGAACUGAGACACGGUCCAGACUCCUACGGGAGGCAGCAGUAGGGAAUCUUCCGCAAUGGGCGAAAGCUUGACGGAGCAACGCCGCGUGAGUGAUGAAGGUCUUCGGAUCGUAAAACUCUGUUAUUAGGGAAGAACAAAUGUGUAAGUAACUAUGCACGUCUUGACGGUACCUAAUCAGAAAGCCACGGCUAACUACGUG
This 495-nucleotide ribosomal RNA is filed under the name uncultured bacterium. Its description in RNAcentral is "partial 16S ribosomal RNA". It matches the Rfam family "Bacterial small subunit ribosomal RNA", at positions 30 to 507 of the family's 1533-position model. The record is from RNAcentral.